This 853-nucleotide ribosomal RNA is filed under the name Montenegrina okolensis okolensis. Its description in RNAcentral is "partial 16S ribosomal RNA". The stretch from base 347 to 593 matches the Rfam family "Archaeal large subunit ribosomal RNA", at positions 1786 to 2143 of the family's 2987-position model. The record is from RNAcentral. Lineage: Eukaryota; Metazoa; Mollusca; Gastropoda; Stylommatophora; Clausiliidae.
AAAAGAUAUAAUAUUUUAAUUCCCGAAACAAAAAGAUCUAAUUGUAAAUGUUACUUAUAGAGUUAUAAUUUUCUCUGUAGCAUUAGAGUAAGUCAACAUUCAUUUAGGGGUGAAACGCCCUCACUUUUUGUGAUAUCUGGAUAAAAAUUAAAUAUAUUUAGUUUAUAAUAUAAUUACAAAGUGAUAAGAUUUUGUAAAAGUAAUUAUCUAAGCGUAUUACAGAUUUUUCUUUAUUUAAUAUUUAAUGAAAAACAUGUAUUAUUAAUAAGCCUUUAAACUCACUAUUAUAAUGUAAUUUUUUAUUUUAUUUAAUGAAAAUCAAAAUAAAUAAUGUACAAAUAAGUAUUUAUAUAAAAUUACAUUAAGGAACUCGGCAAAAAUAUAUGCGACUGUUUAACAAAAACAUAGCUAAUAGGAUAUUAAUUAUUAGUAAUACCUGCCCAGCGAAAGUUUUUAGCGGCCGCAGUACUCUGACUGUGCAAAGGUAGCAUAAUCAUUUGGCUUUUAAUUGGAGUCUUGUAUGAACGGAUAAACGUAUAUAAGCUGUCUAAAAGUAAAUCUAUAAAAAUUAAUUAGAGGGUGAAAAUACCCUCAUAAUAAAUAAAAGACGAGAAGACCCUUAGAAUUUUUAGGAAAAAUAAUACUAAUUAUUUGGUUUUUUGUUGGGGCAACAAUUUUUCAUUAACAAAUAAAAAAUAUAAUAUAAAACAUAACGAAUUUUAUUAACUAAGAAUAAAUUACCUAAGGGAUAACAGCAUAAUUAUAUUAUUAGAUUGUGACCUCGAUGUUGGAUUAGGGAUUACUAAGGCUAGCGGUUUUAGUAAAAUUAGUUCUGUUCGAACAUUGCUCCCUA